GCCCGGCUAGCUCAGUCGGUAGAGCAUGAGACUUUAUCUCAGGGGUACGUGGGUUCGAGCCCCGCGUUGGGCG
Molecule: non-coding RNA, 73 nt
Organism: Rhipicephalus microplus (southern cattle tick)
Lineage: Eukaryota; Metazoa; Arthropoda; Arachnida; Ixodida; Ixodidae
Source: the annotation of a RefSeq genome assembly